Molecule: ribosomal RNA, 372 nt
Filed under: uncultured bacterium
Lineage: Bacteria
Description: bacterial SSU rRNA
Rfam family: Bacterial small subunit ribosomal RNA
Source: RNAcentral
ACGUAGGGUGCGAGCGUUAAUCGGAAUUACUGGGCGUAAAGGGUGCGCAGGUGGUUUGUUAAGUCAGAUGUGAAAGCCCUGGGCUUAACCUAGGAAUUGCGUUUGAAACUGGCGAGCUAGAGUCUGUCAGAGGGGGGUAGAAUUCCACGUGUAGCAGUGAAAUGCGUAGAGAUGUGGAGGAAUAUCGAUGGCGAAGGCAGCCCCCUGGGAUAAGACUGACGCUCAUGCACGAAAGCGUGGGGAGCAAACAGGAUUAGAUACCCUGGUAGUCCACGCCCUAAACGAUGUCGACUGGUUGUUGGGCAACUUGAUUGUUCAGUAACGAAGCUAACGCGAGAAGUCGACCGCCUGGGGAGUACGGUCGCAAGAUUA